RNAcentral lists this small nuclear RNA (80 nucleotides) under Homo sapiens (human). Its description in RNAcentral is "partial ncRNA". Lineage: Eukaryota; Metazoa; Chordata; Mammalia; Primates; Hominidae. The record is from RNAcentral.
AGAGAAUCACCUGAACCCAGGAGGUGGAGGUUGCAGUGAGCCGAGAUUGCACCACUGCACUCCAAGCCUGGGUGACAAGA